AUGAAAUCUUUAAAUAAUCAUUUGAAUUAGUCAACAAUUCAUUAUAAUUGGAAUUAAAUACACAAACGUGCCAUUGAAUGUGUCAUUUAAUGUAAAAGUAAAUUUAAUUAUUUGAAUCAUUUAAUUAUUUCAAAAUUGAAUAGAUGAGUUUCCGUUCGCUAAGGAGUAUGGGUAAUCCUGGCGGCAGCCUCCAUUUUGUGUGUUUUAAUUAACUUUCUAAAUAUUUUUCGCGCUUUUGCCAAGACAAUGAGGUCAACUUCAGAAAAUUUGAAAGAGGACGUGAAAUUGUUCUACAGACAGACAGAUGGGGUUUGCAAAGCCAGGUAUUUACCGAAAUUGAAGGAUAUCGGCGAUGAAAAUCCGUAUGAGAUGGGAACAUACGAAUGGACGACUGAUUUGGAAUCUUACCCUGAUAUAAAUUACCCGGACAUCGUCAACUAUUUGGUGAGAAAUUAAUCUGGCUUCAAAGGAAGAUAAAGUGAUCCAAGUUUGGUGCCAUGGGUCAUAGAGAAGAACGGCCGUGUUUCAGUUACACAAGAACACAUCAUACUGACUACUUCUAAGACCAUGGCAAAAUGCAAUUCUACAGGAAGAUUUUGUCAUGACCCGAGAUCUACAAAGUGGAGAGGAUGCAGGGCCUGACUCCCCUCCAGGCACCUUUUCUUUGAACUGUUUUGUGACCAAAGGCAGCGGCUGUUUACGACCCCCUUCCUUUAGAAACAGCUGUUGCCAUGUAAUCAGGGAAAGUCCAAAUAAAAGAGGAGGCAUAAAAUCUUUCGUCAGAGCGUGGUGGGACUGUACAAAGAGUACAGUCCAGAUGUUUCUCCUCAAUUGAGCCAAAUUGAAUGUUGUCUCUGUUUAAUUCCUUGCUUCUUGUCUUGUUUAAUAGAUGUCAUCAGUGUUUGAACCUGACAAAGACGGAACGAAAUUUGUACUUCCGGUUCAAGGCACCAAACAUUAGACGUUAAACCCGCAGCACCUGCAGU
Long non-coding RNA from Entelurus aequoreus (snake pipefish), 986 nucleotides. RefSeq lists it as uncharacterized. NCBI's taxonomy places the organism in Eukaryota, Metazoa, Chordata, Actinopteri, Syngnathiformes, Syngnathidae. The transcript is spliced from 3 exons. The record is from RefSeq and is a predicted model, not a curated record.